GUUUUGUUAAAAGAUAGUGAAAUUGAAGAAGAUGACCCCUUUUCAGAUGAGGAUUUACCUGAGGAAUUCAAGAAAGUGAAGUUUAGUUUAUUAACUGUUCUUCAGCUGGUCAGUUUGGUUUUAAUUAUUGCUGUUUUAAGUUGUAGUUUUGUGUUUCGUGUAUUGAGAGAAAAGAGGGCUCUUGGGCUUAAAUUGUGGAAAUGGGAAGUAAU
Molecule: unclassified non-coding RNA, 212 nt
Filed under: Hevea brasiliensis (rubber tree)
Lineage: Eukaryota; Viridiplantae; Streptophyta; Magnoliopsida; Malpighiales; Euphorbiaceae
Source: RNAcentral